This 640-nucleotide ribosomal RNA is filed under the name uncultured fungus. RNAcentral describes it as "eukaryotic LSU rRNA". The stretch from base 262 to 415 matches the Rfam family "5.8S ribosomal RNA". The record is from RNAcentral. Lineage: Eukaryota; Fungi.
GCUGAUAGCCUUAAACGGUACAAGUGGCUUUCUACCGUCAUAGCCUAUCAUUUGUACAGAUUUUCGAAUCGUGCAAAGCUGUGUGCCUACAUAUGUUAACCUCUUGUGAACCGACUCGUCUCUGGCGUGGAGGGCAGUUGAGAAACUGCUUGUCAGCAUCCAAAUGUAAAUUUGCAGGUGCCGUGGACAACCCGUCAACCCUUUACAACAUAUACAACUAAACUUACUGCCUGACAUUACUUGUAUCAAUUAAUACAAAACAACUUUUGGCAACGGAUCUCUUGGCUCUCGCAACGAUGAAGAACGCAGCGAAAUGCGAUAAGUAGUGUGAAUUGCAGAAUUCAGUGAAUCAUCGAAUCUUUGAACGCACAUUGCGCUUCCUGGUAUUCCGGGGAGCAUGCUCGUUUCAGAAUCAUUUAAAACUCACAAGCCUUUACGAGGGGGAUCCAAGCAUAUUGGAUGCCACUCGCAUUGGUGCGUGGAUAUGAGUGCAUUGGCUGGAUUUACUUCCACAUACCCAAUCGCUUUUGAAUGAUUUUGUACGCAACCCUCGUCUUCUUUUUUGGGCUGCCAACAGUGCGACAGUUUUAAACAGUUCAUUUUUGGUGGUUCCCGGAAGUACGGCGUGGCGUGUAUUUCU